This 460-nucleotide ribosomal RNA is filed under the name uncultured bacterium. Its description in RNAcentral is "partial 16S ribosomal RNA". It matches the Rfam family "Bacterial small subunit ribosomal RNA", at positions 338 to 795 of the family's 1533-position model. The record is from RNAcentral.
CCUACGGGAGGCAGCAGUGAGGAAUAUUGGUCAAUGGCCGGAAGGCUGAACCAGCCAUGCCGCGUGAAGGUCAGUGCCCUAUGGGCGUUAAACUUCUUUUGUGCGGGAGCAAUACUGGUCACGUGUGGCCAGACGAGAGUCCCGUACGAAUCAGCAUCGGCUGACUCCGUGUCAGCAGCCGCGGUAAUACCGGGGAUGCAAGGGUUUUCCGGAGUUAAUGGGUUUAAAGGGUUAGUAGGCUGGGAGGUAAGUCAGCGGUGAAAUGCCCCCGCUCAACGGGGUGAAGUGCCAUUGAUACUGCCUGGCUGGAAUGCGGAAGCCGUGAGAGGAAUGUGUGGUGUAGCGGUGAAAUGCAUAGAUAUCACACAGAACACCGAUUGCGAAGGCAGCUCACGAAUCCGCGAUUGACGCUGAUGCACGAAAGCGUGGGUAUCAAACAGGAUUAGAUACCCUUGUAGUC